This 497-nucleotide ribosomal RNA is filed under the name uncultured bacterium. RNAcentral's name for it is "partial 16S ribosomal RNA". It matches the Rfam family "Bacterial small subunit ribosomal RNA", at positions 28 to 507 of the family's 1533-position model. The record is from RNAcentral.
GAUGAACGCUGGCGGCGUGCCUAAUACAUGCAAGUCGAGCGAACAGACGAGGAGCUUGCUCCUCUGACGUUAGCGGCGGACGGGUGAGUAACACGUGGAUAACCUACCUAUAAGACUGGGAUAACUUCGGGAAACCGGAUCUAAUACCGGAUAAUAUAUUGAACCGCAUGGUUCAAUAGUGAAAGACGGUUUUGCUGUCACUUAUAGAUGGAUCCGCGCCGCAUUAGCUAGUUGGUAAGGUAACGGCUUACCAAGGCAACGAUGCGUAGCCGACCUGAGAGGGUGAUAGGCCACACUGGAACUGAGACACGGUCCAGACUCCUACGGGAGGCAGCAGUAGGGAAUCUUCCGCAAUGGGCGAAAGCCUGACGGAGCAACGCCGCGUGAGUGAUGAAGGUCUUCGGAUCGUAAAACUCUGUUAUUAGGGAAGAACAAAUGUGUAAGUAACUAUGCACGUCUUGACGGUACCUAAUCAGAAAGCAACGGCUAACUACGUG